RNAcentral lists this ribosomal RNA (250 nucleotides) under uncultured bacterium. Its description in RNAcentral is "partial 16S ribosomal RNA". It matches the Rfam family "Bacterial small subunit ribosomal RNA", at positions 100 to 334 of the family's 1533-position model. The record is from RNAcentral.
CGGCACGGGUGAGUAACGCGUGGAUAAUCUACCCUUAAGAUGGGGAGUAACGGCUGGAAACGGUCGCUAAUACCGAAUACGCUCCCGAUUUUAUCGUUGGGGGGAAAGGAUGGCCUCUGCUUGCAAGCUAUCGCUUAAGGAUGAGUCCGCGUCCCAUUAGCUAGUUGGCGGGGUAACGGCCCACCAAGGCAACGAUGGGUAGCCGGUCUGAGAGGAUGACCGGCCACACUGGAACUGGAACACGGUCCAG